Molecule: ribosomal RNA, 457 nt
Filed under: uncultured bacterium
Lineage: Bacteria
Description: bacterial SSU rRNA
Rfam family: Bacterial small subunit ribosomal RNA
Source: RNAcentral
UACGGAAGGCAGCAGUGGGGAAUAUUGCACAAUGGGCGAAAGCCUGAUGCAGCUAUGCCGCGUGUAUGAAGAAGGCCUUAGGGUUGUAAAGUACUUUCAUCGGGGAGGAAAAAACAAAACUAAUAAUUUUAUUUCUUGACGUUACCCGAAAAAGAAGCACCGGCUAACUCCGUGCCAGCAGCCGCGGUAAUACGGAGGGUGCUAGCGUUAAUCAGAAUUACUGGGCGUAAAGAGCACGUAGGUGGUUUUUUUAAGUCAGAUGUGAAAUCCCUGGGCUUAACCUAGGAACUGCAUUUUGAAACUGAAAUACUAGAGUAUCGUAGAGGGAGGUAGAAUUCUAGGUGUAGCGGUGAAAUGCGUAGAUAUCUGGAAGAAUACCUGUGGCGAAAGCGGCCUCCUAAACGAAUACUGACACUGAGGUGCGAAAGCGUGGGGAGCGAAACAGGGAUUAGAUACC